RNAcentral lists this ribosomal RNA (433 nucleotides) under uncultured bacterium. RNAcentral's name for it is "partial 16S ribosomal RNA". It matches the Rfam family "Bacterial small subunit ribosomal RNA", at positions 29 to 507 of the family's 1533-position model. The record is from RNAcentral.
AACGAACGCUGGCGGCAUGCCUAACACAUGCAAGUCGAACGAGACCUUCGGGUCUAGUGGCGCACGGGUGCGUAACGCGUGGGAACCUGCCCUUAGGUUCGGAAUAACUCCCCGAAAGGGGUGCUAAUACCGGAUAAUGUCUUCGGACCAAAGAUUUAUCGCCUUUGGAUGGGCCCGCGUUGGAUUAGCUAGUUGGUAGGGUAAAAGCCUACCAAGGCGACGAUCCAUAGCUGGUCUGAGAGGAUGAUCAGCCACACUGGGACUGAGACACGGCCCAGACUCCUACGGGAGGCAGCAGUGGGGAAUAUUGGACAAUGGGCGAAAGCAUGAUCCAGCAAUGCCGCGUGAGUGAUGAAGGCCUUAGGGUUGUAAAGCUAUUUUACCCGGGAUGAUAAUGACAGUACCGGGAGAAUAAGCGCCGGCUAACUCCGUG